UUAACACAUGCAAGUCGAACGGUGUCUUCGGACAUAGUGGCGGACGGGUGAGUAACGCGUGAGAAUCUAGCUUCAGGUCUGGGACAACCACUGGAAACGGUGGCUAAUACCGGAUGUGCCGGAAGGUGAAAGGCUUGCUGCCUGAAGAUGAGCUCGCGUCCGAUUAGCUAGUAGGUGGGGUAAGAGCCUACCUAGGCGACGAUCGGUAGCUGGUCUGAGAGGAUGACCAGCCACACUGGGACUGAGACACGGCCCAGACUCCUACGGGAGGCAGCAGUGGGGAAUUUUCCGCAAUGGGCGAAAGCCUGACGGAGCAAUACCGCGUGAGGGAGGAAGGCUCUUGGGUUGUAAACCUCUUUUCUCAGGGAAGAACACAAUGACGGUACCUGAGGAAUCAGCAUCGGCUAACUCCGUGCCAGCAGCCGCGGUAAUACGGAGGAUGCAAGCGUUAUCCGGAAUGAUUGGGCGUAAAGCGUCCGCAGGUGGCUGUGUAAGUCUGCUGUCAAAGAGCAAAGCUCAACUUUGUAAAGGCAGUGGAAACUACACGGCUAGAGUGCGUUCGGGGCAGAGGGAAUUCCUGGUGUAGCGGUGAAAUGCGUAGAGAUCAGGAAGAACACCGGUGGCGAAGGCGCUCUGCUAGGCCGCAACUGACACUGAGGGACGAAAGCUAGGGGAGCGAAUGGGAUUAGAUACCCCAGUAGUCCUAGCCGUAAACGAUGGAUACU
RNAcentral lists this ribosomal RNA (725 nucleotides) under Anabaena sp. AG10011. RNAcentral's name for it is "bacterial SSU rRNA". It matches the Rfam family "Bacterial small subunit ribosomal RNA", at positions 48 to 817 of the family's 1533-position model. The record is from RNAcentral. Lineage: Bacteria; Bacillati; Cyanobacteriota; Cyanophyceae; Nostocales; Nostocaceae.